RNAcentral lists this ribosomal RNA (449 nucleotides) under uncultured bacterium. Its description in RNAcentral is "partial 16S ribosomal RNA". It matches the Rfam family "Bacterial small subunit ribosomal RNA", at positions 29 to 523 of the family's 1533-position model. The record is from RNAcentral.
AACGAACGCUGGCGGCAUGCCUAACACAUGCAAGUCGAACGAGAUCUUCGGGUCUAGUGGCGCACGGGUGCGUAGCGCGUGGGAAUCUGCCCUUUGGUUCGGAAUAACAGUUGGAAACGACUGCUAAUACCGGAUGAUGACGAAAGUCCAAAGAUUUAUCGCCAGAGGAUGAGCCCGCGUAGGAUUAGCUAGUUGAUGUGGUAAAGGCGCACCAAGGCGACGAUCCUUAGCUGGUCUGAGAGGAUGAUCAGCCACACUGGGACUGAGACACGGCCCAGACUCCUACGGGAGGCAGCAGUGGGGAAUAUUGGACAAUGGGCGAAAGCCUGAUCCAGCAAUGCCGCGUGAGUGAUGAAGGCCUUAGGGUUGUAAAGCUCUUUUACCCGGGAUGAUAAUGACAGUACCGGGAGAAUAAGCUCCGGCUAACUCCGUGCCAGCCGCCGCAGUAA